UUCUUAGCAAUCUAGUAUGUCCAAAGAUACUGUUUUAAGAUCUCUAAAGAUUAUUAGUAUGGUGAAGAGCCAAUCCUUGCAUUCAAAAAAAAAUCCUCUUAACUAAGAAGGUAGGGCAUUUAUUUUAAUAUAUUGAAUCCAAAAUAAAAAUUGAGAAGUGCAAUAGGAGAAGACAAAGUGGCAUAAGAUUUGAGAGUAGGAAGAGAGAGUUUCUAGAUGAGGGUAUGAAAGUUGUUUAUGAAGGGUAUGGCAUAGGAUUGGAUAAGCAUAUAACAAAGAAGUAGAACACAGGAUGGCAAAGGGAAUAAAUCAAGCUUUGGGGAGAGUAGCAAGCAGUAUACUUUGAUUGGAAGUCAGGGGAUUAAAAGAAAAUUGAAAACGAUUGGCAAGAUAGGGUGGGCUGAUUAGGCUGGUGCCUAGCUAAGGAGGCAAAACUAAGAAAAUUCAGUCCUCAGGGAGGGGCAUUAAUGGUAUGUUAAAGGUGGCCUCUAUGUCCAAGGAACACUUAGGGAAAGACUCAGGACAAUGAUUAUUUACCAGUCUUCCCAUAUUUUAAUAGCCAGUACUUUACAGUUAAUGUACCAAUUGUUAUUAACCUUGUUGGUGUUAAUAAAUUCAUAUACCUUAGUAAAGAUUGACUACAUUUAUUCUCAGGCAUUAAGUAAACUAUAGUAAAGGAAAAGGGUAAGAAUAUUUCAAGUAUGCCAAGUGGAAGUACGAUUUUGUCACCUAGUAACACCAAUUUUGCAAAUGUGUCACUCUUCAACUAUAAACGUAGAGCAAUGAAAUAUAUCUGAGCCUCAAGACUGUUCUGUCUCAACAAUGGGUUCAGUAAGAACAACAAGCUCCUCCAAGUGACACUUAUCCAGCUCCCCAAAGACAGCUCCUACUGUCUUUCAGGUGGCUUGAGGCAAUGGACAAAGUGGCCCAUCUUGUCCACCAGGUAAGAUUUCCUUGAUAUUUAUCUCUUCUUUCAUUUUGCAUUUCUUCUCAGAGGUGGAAAGGAACAUGUUAGAUGUCAUGUGGUCUACCCCGGGAUGUCUCAGAUGUGUUCUAAAAGCAGGGAAAGAGAUCUUAAGUCAACAGGGUUUUUCGCUCAGUUCCUAUGGGGGAGCUUGCAUUUCUGCUGCUCUUUUCAUUUUCAGGAGCUUGUAUGCCAUCCUUCUCAGUAAGAGUCAGUGGGGAGUCACAAACUGGGGUGGAAUUUCUGUUUCACAUGAAGAAGUCCAGUAGUUCCCCAUGAUGACAAACCACUGCUGCUGUUUUCUUUUUACUCCCCAAAUAUAAGAUCUCAGGGAUAUCUCAGGAUGGUGCUAUUGAUUGAGCAGCUUACUAGGAAAUGAGUGUGUUGUAAUUCAGAAAUACAGUGCUUUUAUGUUUACAUCCUUGUUCUGUAGACAUAUUAGGCCAAUUUUCACUAUUCCUGCCCGUUCAUGAUUCCAAACUUUGCAGCAAUAUGGUUUUUAAUUUAAAUUUCACCUACAAACUGAUAGAUAACUUCAUAACAUCAACAGGAGAGUCAUCACCUUGACAUCUAAGGCAUUUGAUAUUUCUCUUUCUGAACUUGUUCUACAAACUGUUGGGGAAAAAAUUGCUUUAAUACCAAUUGUUUCAUUUUUAUGAUAUAAAUAUGAUUUCUAAUGAGAUUAUAGAUUUCCUUUAAAUAUGCUCAUUUCCUCACAAAAUAGUAUACAAGCAAAAGUAAUUAUCAAUUAUCUUCUCUACAUAUUUUGGCUCUUGUGCCUUUGGGAAAAUUUAGAUUGUUUGAGCUUAAAUGUACUGCCAGGUACCCUGUAACUGUCCUUUCAGAACAAUAACAAGCAUCAUCAUUGACAAACAACAGGACUUGUGUUUCAUUUUACCUGGAACACAACGUUGAGCACACUCAUUCAUCUCUCCAACGUGUCAUCCUAAUGAGCCUCAAUAUUUUUAGGAGGCAUUUAUUCUGCUAAUGCACUCAGAGUCUGAAGCAAAGUGGAAAAAAUGAACACCCAAACCCCCAGCAGGCUCCCACUUCACAGCAAAGAAUACAGCAAACUCUGCCUUCUGAAAUCAUUUGCCCUGUCAUGUUAAAACUAAAGAGCAAAAAUGAAACCAAACAGAGAAGAGGAACUGGCAAGCACAGGUAGGGCAUUCUGAUGAAGAGAUAAAGCACAGUGCUCCCAGCCUCAGGUCACAGUUCCCAGAGUUCCCUCCCAGUUCCCAGGCUGGUGGAGGAAGGGCUGUCCUCCAGGGAAGAGAAUUUUGAUUUAUCUUGGGCCUUCCAUGUCACUGACCAUGAGAUCCUAAGACAUGAGCUGGCCUGUGGCAUUUAACUUGUUCCGUUGCACAAAGGAGAGUUACAGGUAAGGAAAAGUAUGAACCAAGGACUGCUAUUCAUCACAGUGGACAUACCAGGAACAGGGCUAGGAAGACAAUCCCAAUGGUGAGUGAGGUAACACCUUCCCAGACAUGUUACCUCACUUAUCAGGCUCAGUGCUUAUAGAUGGGGGCAUUAAAAACAGCCUUUACUAAGGUGCUUGUUUCCAUUUCCUUUCUAUACAUGAUUCCAUGUUC
RNAcentral lists this long non-coding RNA (2556 nucleotides) under Macaca fascicularis (crab-eating macaque). Its description in RNAcentral is "lncRNA (ENSMFAG00000056986.1)". The record is from RNAcentral. Lineage: Eukaryota; Metazoa; Chordata; Mammalia; Primates; Cercopithecidae.